Molecule: ribosomal RNA, 301 nt
Filed under: uncultured bacterium
Lineage: Bacteria
Description: partial 16S ribosomal RNA
Rfam family: Bacterial small subunit ribosomal RNA
Source: RNAcentral
CAGUAGCCACGGUAAUGCGUAGGGUGCGAGCGUUAAUCGGAAUUACUGGGCGUAAAGCGUGCGCAGGCGGUUUUGUAAGACAGGCGUGAAAUCCCCGGGCUCAACCUGGGAAUGGCGCUUGUGACUGCAAAGCUAGAGUGCGGCAGAGGGGGAUGGAAUUCCGCGUGUAGCAGUGAAAUGCGUAGAUAUGCGGAGGAACACCGAUGGCGAAGGCAAUCCCCUGGGCCUGCACUGACGCUCAUGCACGAAAGCGUGGGGAGCAAACAGGAUUAGAUACCCGAGUAGUCCCUGUCUCUUAUAC